CAGUCGCCGCGGGAAUACGUAGGUGGCAAGCGUUGUCCGGAAUUAUUGGGCGUAAAGGGCUCGCAGGCGGUUUCUUAAGUCUGAUGUGAAAGCCCCCGGCUCAACCGGGGAGGGUCAUUGGAAACUGGGAAACUUGAGUGCAGAAGAGGAGAGUGGAAUUCCACGUGUAGCGGUGAAAUGCGAAGAGAUGUGGAGGAACACCAGUGGCGAAGGCGACUCUCUGGUCUGUAACUGACGCUGAGGAGCGAAAGCGUGGGGAGCGAGCAGGAUUAGAUACCCCCGUAGUCCCUGUCUCUUAUAC
Molecule: ribosomal RNA, 301 nt
Filed under: uncultured bacterium
Lineage: Bacteria
Description: partial 16S ribosomal RNA
Rfam family: Bacterial small subunit ribosomal RNA
Source: RNAcentral